UGGAUGAUGUGGAUUAAUUCGAUGCAACGCGAAAACCUUACCUACCCUUGACAUGCCAGGAAUCCUGCAGAGAUGUGGGAGUGCUCGAAAGAGAGCCUGGACACAGGUGCUGCAUGGCUGUCGUCAGCUCGUGUCGUGAGAUGUUGGGUUAAGUCCCGCAACGAGCGCAACCCUUGUCAUUAGUUGCCAUCAUUCAGUUGGGCACUCUAAUGAGACUGCCGGUGACAAACCGGAGGAAGGUGGGGAUGACGUCAAGUCCUCAUGGCCCUUAUGGGUAGGGCUUCACACGUCAUACAAUGGUCGGUACAGAGGGUUGCCAAGCCGCGAGGUGGAGCCAAUCCCAGAAAGCCGAUCGUAGUCCGGAUCGGAGUCUGCAACUCGACUCCGUGAAGUCGGAAUCGCUAGUAAUCGUGGAUCAGCAUGCCACGGUGAAUACGUUCCCGGGUCUU
RNAcentral lists this ribosomal RNA (449 nucleotides) under uncultured Rhodocyclaceae bacterium. RNAcentral describes it as "bacterial SSU rRNA". It matches the Rfam family "Bacterial small subunit ribosomal RNA", at positions 933 to 1382 of the family's 1533-position model. The record is from RNAcentral. Lineage: Bacteria; Pseudomonadati; Pseudomonadota; Betaproteobacteria; Rhodocyclales; Rhodocyclaceae.